UCCGGUUUGUCACCGGCAGUCUCCCAUGAGUCCCCGGCAUUACCCGCUGGCAACAUGGGACGGGGGUUGCGCUCGUUGCGGGACUUAACCCAACACCUCACGGCACGAGCUGACGACAGCCAUGCACCACCUGUGACGGUGUCCCGAAGGAAAGCCGUGUUUCCACGGCGGUCACCGACAUGUCAAGCCCAGGUAAGGUUCUUCGCGUUGCGUCGAAUUGAACCACAUGCUCCGCUGCUUGUGCGGGUCCCCGUCAAUUCCUUUGAGUUUUAGCCUUGCGGCCGUACUCCCCAGGCGGGGCACUUAAUGCGUUAGCUUCGGCACGGGAGGAGUCGACACCUCCCACACCUAGUGCCCAUCGUUUACGGCGUGGACUAC
RNAcentral lists this unclassified non-coding RNA (378 nucleotides) under uncultured Thermoleophilia bacterium. RNAcentral's name for it is "contains 16S-23S intergenic spacer region". Lineage: Bacteria; Bacillati; Actinomycetota; Thermoleophilia. The record is from RNAcentral.